Molecule: ribosomal RNA, 484 nt
Filed under: uncultured bacterium
Lineage: Bacteria
Description: partial 16S ribosomal RNA
Rfam family: Bacterial small subunit ribosomal RNA
Source: RNAcentral
AUUGAACGCUGGCGGCAUGCCUUACACAUGCAAGUCGAGCGGCAGCGCGGACUUCGGUCUGGCGGCGAGUGGCGAACGGGUGAGUAAUACAUCGGAACGUACCCUGUUGUGGGGGAUAACUAGUCGAAAGAUUAGCUAAUACCGCAUACGACCUGAGGGUGAAAGUGGGGGACCGCAAGGCCUCACGCAGCAGGAGCGGCCGAUGUCUGAUUAGCUAGUUGGUGGGGUAAAGGCCCACCAAGGCGACGAUCAGUAGCUAGUCUGAGAGGACGAUCAGCCACACUGGGACUGAGACACGGCCCAGACUCCUACGGGAGGCAGCAGUGGGGAAUUUUGGACAAUGGGGGCAACCCUGAUCCAGCAAUGCCGCGUGUGUGAAGAAGGCCUUCGGGUUGUAAAGCACUUUUGUCCGGAAAGAAAUCGCGCUGGUUAAUACCUGGCGUGGAUGACGGUACCGGAAGAAUAAGCACCGGCUAACUACGUG